GAUGAACGCUAGCUACAGGCUUAACACAUGCAAGUCGAGGGGCAGCACAGUGUAGCAAUACACGGGUGGCGACCGGCGCACGGGUGCGUAACGCGUAUCCAACCUUCCCGUUACUCUUGGAUAGCCUUCCGAAAGGGAGAUUAAUACAAGAUGGUAUUCAAAUUCCGCAUGUUAUUUGAAUUAAAGAUUUAUCGGUAACGGAUGGGGAUGCGUAUGAUUAGCUUGUUGGCGGGGUAACGGCCCACCAAGGCAACGAUCAUUAGGGGUUCUGAGAGGAAGGUCCCCCACACUGGAACUGAGACACGGUCCAGACUCCUACGGGAGGCAGCAGUGAGGAAUAUUGGUCAAUGGAGGCAACUCUGAACCAGCCAAGUAGCGUGCAGGAUGACGGCCCUAUGGGUUGUAAACUGCUUUUAUGCGGGGAUAAAUGAGCCUACGUGUAGGUUUUUGCAGGUACCGCAUGAAUAAGGACCGGCUAAUUCCGUGCCAGCAGCCGCGGU
This 500-nucleotide ribosomal RNA is filed under the name uncultured bacterium. RNAcentral's name for it is "bacterial SSU rRNA". It matches the Rfam family "Bacterial small subunit ribosomal RNA", at positions 28 to 521 of the family's 1533-position model. The record is from RNAcentral.